CCCAAACACUUAUUCUUGUGGCCACUACUCCUUCGCAACCGUAAAAGAUUACGACAAAUUUAUUUUACCAAAUUGCUCGUUAUGUCUUCAGGAUUAGAAUAUUCAUUUGGAUCGAAGCUAUCCGGAGACUCCAUAUGAGAGUUAUUUCCCCUUAUGCAUUUGAUAUAAGUGAUAUGCGUUUCUUACUGGUAAACCAUCAGUGAUAUAGGCCUAGGGUCUUUAGAUUUGAGGUCCUUGGUUAAAAAAAAUGAAAAUAAGGUCAAGGUCAAAGGUCAAGGUCAUAUUCUAAAUUUUAAUUUUGGCUUAUUUUCACUUAUUUUCAACAACCGUGAAAGAUAUUGACAAAUUCUUUUUACUAAAUUGUGAGUUGCGACAUGUUGUAACUUAUAAAUUUUGGUUGGAAGGGUGCGUAAACAAUAAAUGAGAGUUUUCGCCCAUCUUAUAUUUAAAAUCAUGCCUAUAGUGAUAUAACUCAUUAACCAUACAUAUUACAGACCUAGGGUCUUUUUGUUUGAGGUCCUUGGUUGGUGACCUUGAAAUUGAGGUCAAGGUCAAAGGUUAAUAGGACGUUCUAGAUUUUGACCUUUGCUUUAAAUUCAUAUUUAUACAUUAUAAAGUCAUAGGAACUGACAUUUUAGAUUGAUUUUUAAUAUUUUGAUAAUAAAAUAGAUCUUUACUUGUGGAAAGACCUUCAAUUGUUCUUUGAACAAUUGGUUUUUAAUUAUUAUUAUUAUUAUCAUUUUUUUUUUCUUCCGCCUAAUUUUUUUCUUGCGUAGUAUUGAUGUUUCAAAAGAUGUCGCUUAGAUAUUUGAAAUAUGAUAUCGUAUAGUUGAUACGCUUUAAAAAUUUACAACCGCAUAACAAAAUACUUUACGUUGUAAGAGUUACCUCCCCGAACACUGUUUUUCUUGUGGCCACUAAUCCUUCGCAACCGUAAAAGAUUAUGACAAAUUUAUUUUGCCUAAUUGGUCGUUACAUCUUAAGGAUAAGGAUAUUCAUUUGGACCGAAGCUAUAUGGCGACCCCAUAUGAGAGUUAUUCCCCCUUUUUCAUUUGAUUCAAGUGAUAUGCAUUUCUAACUAGUAACCCAUAAGUGAUAGAGACCUAGGGUCUUCUGAUUUGAGGUCCUUGGUCCAAAAAAACGAAAAUGAGGUCAAGGUCAAAGGUCAAGGUCAUAUUCUAAAUUUUGAUUUUUGCUUAUUUUCACUGAUUUUCAAAUACCGUAUGACAUGUCGACAAAUAAUUUUUCAUCAAUUGUUAGUUGCGACAUAUCCUUACUUGCAUAUUUUGGUUGAAAGGGUGCGCAGACAAUAAAUAAGAGUUUUUGCCCAUCUUACAUUUAAAAUUACGCGUCAAGUGAUAUUACUUAUUAACAAAACAUAUUAAAGACCUAGGGUCUUUUGAUUUAAGGUCCUUGGUUUGUGAUCUUGAAAUUGAGGUCAAGGUCAUAGGUUAAUAGGACGUUCUAGAUUUUGACCUUUGCUUAAAAUUCAUAUUAAUAUAUCAUAAAGCCAUAUGAACUAGCAUUUUAAACUGAUUUUUUAUAUUUCAAUAUCAAAAUAGAUCUUUACUAGUGGAAAGACCUUCAAUUGUUCUCUGAACAAUUGGUUUUUAAUUUUUUUUAUUUUU
Molecule: long non-coding RNA, 1628 nt
Filed under: Mytilus galloprovincialis (Mediterranean mussel)
Lineage: Eukaryota; Metazoa; Mollusca; Bivalvia; Mytilida; Mytilidae
Source: RNAcentral